UUCAGCAUUUAACUCAGAUGCUGAACGUGAAGGAUAACGUUGCGUCAGCAACGGCCCGAAGGGCGAGGCAAAGCCGAGUCAUCCUGCACGACCUACCA
Molecule: small RNA, 98 nt
Filed under: Klebsiella pneumoniae
Lineage: Bacteria; Pseudomonadati; Pseudomonadota; Gammaproteobacteria; Enterobacterales; Enterobacteriaceae
Description: partial RtT sRNA
Rfam family: RtT RNA
About the family: This family represents a bacterial cis-regulatory element known as RtT RNA.
Source: RNAcentral